AGAAGAAGAAGAAGAAGAAGAAUCAGGAGAAUCAGGAGAAGAAAGGAGGUGGAAGAAGAAGAAGAAGAAGAACAAUCGGGAGAGGAAGAAUGAGGAGAAGAUGAAGAAUUAGGAGAAGAAGGAGAAGAAGGAGAGGAAGAAGUGGAAUAAUAAUAAUAAUAAUAAUACUAAUAAUAAUAAGAAGAAGAAGAAGAAGGAGAGGAAGAAGAUUGAGAAGAAGAAGAAGGAGGAGAAGAUGGAGAAGGAGAAGUAGGAGAAGGAGAAGAAGGAGAAGGAGAAGAAGAAGAAGGAGAAGGAGAAGUAGAAGAAGAAGAAGGAGAAGGAGAAGAAGAAGAAGGAGAAGAAGG
RNAcentral lists this long non-coding RNA (347 nucleotides) under Hordeum vulgare. RNAcentral's name for it is "long non-coding RNA (HVUL_LNC007410)". Lineage: Eukaryota; Viridiplantae; Streptophyta; Magnoliopsida; Poales; Poaceae. The record is from RNAcentral.